GUGCAUGAAAAACAAAAAAACAAAAAUAAAAUAAUAAUAAAGGCGUUACAAGCGAAAAGAUUACAGUUUAAACAAUUUUAUUGUGCAAUAUUUUAACGUUCCAACGAACUAGCUAAGUGUGAUUUAUUUUGUACUUAUCAACUUAUCGCGUAUUUAAAAUUAAGUGCGCCACAAACUGUUCUUGGGCAGACAGAAAACAUAGUUCCUCGUCAAAAUGAACAAAUCGUACACCCCCCUGCUGCUCCUUUUGAGUUGUUUCGCGAUUGUCUCGCAGGCGAGAAAUGUGAUCGAAUAUGCUGCUGAUAGCGAGAACACGAUAGAGAAGGAUGUUACAGCCUACGACUUUCCCGCCUGCCAAAUCUACUGCUAUGGACCUCUUCUCCAUACCGUGCAAAUGGCAAACAUAUUUCGUGAUUCAAAGACUUUUGUUGACAUGAAAUUGAAAAAAGCACCAGAGAAGACUAUUGAGGAAUUUGAUGCGUUUAUGGAAUCGAAAAACAACACACCAUCCGAUGAUGACGUAUUGCAGUUUGUCAAUGAUCACUUUGAUGAGAAGGGCACGGAAUUGGAAGUCUGGACCCCAACUGAUUGGAAGGAAAAUCCCAGUUUUCUCGAUAACGUCCAUGACCCCGACCUGAAGCAAUGGGGUGCUGACUUAAAUGCCAUAUGGAAAGACUUGGGACGCAAAAUGAAAGAGGAUGUGAGCAAAAAUCCGGACUACUACUCCAUUAUUCCCGUACCCAACCCCGUGAUAAUUCCUGGCGGCCGCUUCAUUGAGUUUUACUAUUGGGACUCGUACUGGAUCAUCCGUGGAUUGCUGCUCUCUGAAAUGCAGGACACCGCGCGUGGAAUGAUAGAAAACUUUCUGUCAAUUGUUCAGCGCAUUGGCUUCAUACCAAAUGGUGGUCGGGUCUACUACUGGGGACGCUCGCAGCCUCCUCUUCUGACCGCCAUGGUCAAGGCCUAUGUGGAUUUCACCAAAGACGACCUGUUCGCUAUUAAUGCGCUGGAUGUGCUAGAGCAUGAGUUUGAAUAUUUCAUUAACAAUCACACAGUACAAGCCAAGGGUCACAAUUUGGUAGCCUACCGCGAUUCAUCGACAGGUCCUCGUCCAGAAUCGUACCGCGAAGACGUGGAGUCAGCAAAGAUAUUUGAUACCGAGGAAGCCAAAGAAGCCUACUACAGUGAACUUAAGUCGGCAGCCGAGUCCGGAAUGGACUUCAGUUCACGUUGGUUUAUCAAUAGUGAUGGCACCAACACUGGAAAUCUUACUCAGACGAAAACACGCUCUAUUGUGCCGGUGGAGCUGAAUGCAAUAUUAUAUUGGAAUGCAAAAAUGAUUGCCGAGUUCCACUCGAAGGCCGAUAACGUAGAUAAAGUUCAGGAGUACGAAGCAAAAGCGCACAAAAUAUUAGAGGCCAUUCAAGCAGUCUUAUGGAAUGAGGAUGUGGGCGCAUGGUUGGAUUACGAUCUAAUCAAUAAUAAGCCGCGCAACAGCUUUGUGCCAACCAACUUGGCCCCAUUAUGGGUUAAGGCCUACAAUAUCUCCGAUUCGCAGAAAAUUUCAACUGCAGUAUUGAAAUACAUUGAGGAGAACGAUCUGGACACAUUCCCAGGAGGUGUGCCAAACACUCUCAUUCAAACCGGUGAGCAAUGGGACUAUCCAAAUGUGUGGCCACCCAUGCAGUACAUAUUGGUCGAGGGUCUGGAUAAUCUGGGCACACCCGAGGCAAAGAACCUAUCUGCCCGCUGGGGCCAACGUUGGGUCAAGUCGAACUUUGAGGCUUAUCGCGAGACACGCAGUAUGUUUGAGAAAUACGAUGCAGAGAAAUUCGGUGGUCAUGGUGGGGGCGGCGAGUAUGACGUGCAGAAGGGAUUUGGCUGGACCAAUGGCGUGAUUAUUGAAUGGUUGGCAAAAUAUGGACGAGAGCUUUCCAUAAGCGGCAAUACAGACGGAGCAGGUGAAAACGCGCAAUAGAAUCAAUUUAUCCUAUAUGUUAAAUGCGUAAUAACGAAUCCAAACGUCACAAUCAUCCGUCUAUCUACUCUGUCAUCAAACGCAAAGUGUCUACGUACCCAUCCAGCACCAUCUGCAUUGACUCGCAAAUUUAAAUACUAUACUUAUGUGUAUGACUCUUUGUUUCCAUCAAACGUUGAAUUUGAAGUGUCACCUUAAUUGAAGAUACAUUAGACCUAAGCGACAUUUAGUGUACCAGAAGCAUCAAACGCGCUAGUUAUUAAGCUCGAUUUAAGCCUCUAUAUUUCUUCAUCUGCCUUGAACGAUCGACAACGACGAAAACAACAAUAAGAACCAUCGCCAACCAAAAUAUGAACAAUCUGAAUCAGCAACACGCAAAUCAAGAAAACGGACUCCCAACUACAAACGAAUCAUCCAUUUGUACGGCGUCCAGGUCGUCCGGUCCACGCUUAUAAACACGCACCCCUACUGUCUCUGUCCACAUUUUUCUGAUCUAUCACAAGUGUUCGCAUUGUCCUCGGUUUCGCAUCUAUCCUGUCUAAAAGCUCGAAAUGAGUAUCAUUUCUGCAGCGUUCGUUCUACACCAAGUCUGCUACCACCAAGCAAAAGCCUCAUUAGUCUUCUGGGCGUAGCAACAGUGGCCCUUAUAGCUACUGUGGCCGGCCGGUAUAUAUGGUGAG
This is an RNA transcript of Scaptodrosophila lebanonensis, 2658 nucleotides long. It is a transcript of the gene named trehalase, with no coding region annotated. NCBI's taxonomy places the organism in Eukaryota, Metazoa, Arthropoda, Insecta, Diptera, Drosophilidae. The record is from RefSeq and is a predicted model, not a curated record. The transcript is spliced from 6 exons.